Molecule: long non-coding RNA, 1283 nt
Filed under: Carassius auratus (goldfish)
Lineage: Eukaryota; Metazoa; Chordata; Actinopteri; Cypriniformes; Cyprinidae
Description: lncRNA (ENSCARG00000052109.1)
Source: RNAcentral
UUCUUAAAACAACAAUCAUGCAGCCAGUUUAUUACAAGUUGUCUUAAGUAUGAAAAUGUCUCAUGUCUCAUUUUAGUUUGCAGCCAGGUUAUACGUAGAUAGCUACCUAUAUGAAUAAGAUCACCACACAUGGAGUCCAUGGCAAGUCACGCAACACGACCCAUGGAAAAGAGGGGACAGGGAGAGAGGACCUGGAACAGAGUAUGGAACCCUUGGAACAACAUUAAGCUGAAGUCAGCGAAGAAAAUUCCCAAACGGAUCAACAGCCUUUAGAGUCUACAGUACUCUGAACUGUUGGACUCUUCAGGAGUAGAAAUAAUAAUAAUGAUAAUGUGUUAACUGACAUCUUAAGUCUAGGUCUGCACGAUUUAGCGUAUUUUAAUAUCGAUGACUAAUUAAUUAAAAAUAAUCGUCACGCUAUUAGCCGGCUCGUUAUUUAUCCUGAAACUUUGUUUUUAAUUUGGCAUUUGCGUUAUCUUGAAUUGCUAACAAGUCUUCCCUGGAGUUCAUUUUUGUGGUUUCCAGGUGUGAAGAGCUUUAAUCCCCAAAACAGAGCUUUUGUCUUUUAAAGAUACAAUUUCUCCCCGGUGUUUUAUUUAAUUUGUGCAAUCUGGGAACCCUGUGCGUGCUCACUGAUGGUGGAACAAGCGCUGAUGAUAAAAACAUGCGAGUUUAGCGAUCUCUCCACAGCGAUAUUCUGCUUACUUGAACGUGUCAUAUAGACAGUGUUUUUACACAAGCCAUUUGUACUGUUUGUGUUAAAUAUGCCAUGAUCAAACUUUCACUGAGUUUCCUUUUUUUGUCACAUGCUUUUCCUACAUGUGACAGUGAAUGGGGAAAAUCUACAUGAAUUGGAAUUGUUGGAAUUUAUAUUAAAGGAACACUCCGACUUUUUGGGACUUUAGCUGAUUCACAGUAUCCCGUUCCGUAGUGUGCGUUCUGUAAGUGUUAUUUGACGCACCCACCGCUAGCCUAGCUUAGCACAAAGACUGAAUGUAAAUGGAUAAUGGUAGCAUAGUAAUCCCAAUAAGUGACAAAAUAAUGCAAACAUUUUCCUAUUUACAUGUUGUGAUCUGUAUAGUCACAGCGUGUACAAAUAACAAGGCUAUAUGAGACAGAGAUCAUUUUUAAUCGUAUAAAUAAUGGGAACUAUAUUCUCACUAGGCGUAGGAGCACAGCUAAUGUUACUUGGGCGCAGUGGCUACUUGGGCGUAGUGAUUAGCGCAGCACCCGAGACGCCCUGUUGAUGGUUUCCGUAAACAAAACAAAAAUGUGACUAACUA